Molecule: ribosomal RNA, 504 nt
Filed under: uncultured bacterium
Lineage: Bacteria
Description: bacterial SSU rRNA
Rfam family: Bacterial small subunit ribosomal RNA
Source: RNAcentral
GAUGAACGCUAGCUACAGGCUUAACACAUGCAAGUCGAGGGGCAGCAUGAAUUUACUUCGGUAAAUUUGAUGGCGACCGGCGCACGGGUGCGUAACGCGUAUCCAACCUUCCCGUUACUCCGGGAUAGCCUUCCGAAAGGGAGAUUAAUACCGGAUGGUGUUUGAAGUCCGCAUGAAAUUCAAACUAAAGAUUUAUCGGUAACGGAUGGGGAUGCGUACCAUUAGAUAGUAGGCGGGGUAACGGCCCACCUAGUCGACGAUGGUUAGGGGUUCUGAGAGGAAGGUCCCCCCACACUGGAACUGAGACACGGUCCAGACUCCUACGGGAGGCAGCAGUGAGGAAUAUUGGUCAAUGGUCUGACGACUGAACCAGCCAUGCCGCGUGAAGGUCACGGCCCUAUGGGUCUUAAACUUCUUUUGCAAGGGAGCAAUAAGGUCUACGUGUAGAUCGAUGAGAGUACCUUGCGAAUAAGCAUCGGCUAACUCCGUGCCAGCAGCCGCGGU